RNAcentral lists this ribosomal RNA (297 nucleotides) under uncultured bacterium. Its description in RNAcentral is "partial 16S ribosomal RNA". It matches the Rfam family "Bacterial small subunit ribosomal RNA", at positions 1084 to 1382 of the family's 1533-position model. The record is from RNAcentral.
GUCCGCACGAGCGCAACACCCUGUCCCUGUGUUGCUACUCCGCAAGGAGAGGACUCUCAGGAGACUGCCGUGGAUAACACGGAGGAAGGUGGGGAUGACGUCAAAUCAUCAUGGCCUUUAUGUCCAGGGCUACACACGUGAUACAAUGGUACAGACAGAGGGCUGCAAGACCGUAAGGUGGAGCCAAUCCCUAAACUGUAUCCCAGUUCAGAUCGAGGGCUGCAAUUCGCCCUCGUGAAGUUGGAAUCGCUAGUAAUCGCAGAUCAGCAGGCUGCGGUGAAUACGUUCCCGGGCCUU